GUGGGGAAUCUUGCGCAAUGGGCGAAAGCCUGACGCAGCCAUGCCGCGUGAAUGAUGAAGGUCUUAGGAUUGUAAAAUUCUUUCACCGGGGACGAUAAUGACGGUACCCGGAGAAGAAGCCCCGGCUAACUUCGUGCCAGCAGCCGCGGUAAUACGAAGGGGGCUAGCGUUGCUCGGAAUUACUGGGCGUAAAGGGCGCGUAGGCGGACAGUUAAGUUGGGGGUGAAAGCCCGGGGCUCAACCUCGGAACUGCCUUCAAUACUGGCUGUCUUGAGUAUGAGAGAGGUGUGUGGAACUCCGAGUGUAGAGGUGAAAUUCGUAGAUAUUCGGAAGAACACCAGUGGCGAAGGCGACACACUGGCUCAUUACUGACGCUGAGGCGCGAAAGCGUGGGGAGCAAACAGGAUUAGAUACCCCGGUAGUCC
RNAcentral lists this ribosomal RNA (425 nucleotides) under uncultured bacterium. RNAcentral describes it as "partial 16S ribosomal RNA". It matches the Rfam family "Bacterial small subunit ribosomal RNA", at positions 354 to 796 of the family's 1533-position model. The record is from RNAcentral.